CGAACGGGUGAGUAACGCGUGAGGAACCUGCCUCAAAGAGGGGGACAACAGUUGGAAACGACUGCUAAUACCGCAUAAGCCCACGGCUCGGCAUCGAGCAGAGGGAAAAGGAACAAUCCGCUUUGAGAUGGCCUCGCGUCCGAUUAGCUAGUUGGUGAGGUAACGGCCCACCAAGGCGACGAUCAGUAGCCGACCUGAGAGGGUGACCGGCCACAUUGGGACUGAGACACGGCCCAA
Molecule: ribosomal RNA, 237 nt
Filed under: uncultured bacterium
Lineage: Bacteria
Description: partial 16S ribosomal RNA
Rfam family: Bacterial small subunit ribosomal RNA
Source: RNAcentral